This is a non-coding RNA of Zootoca vivipara (common lizard), 6058 nucleotides long. The record is from RefSeq and is a predicted model, not a curated record. Lineage: Eukaryota; Metazoa; Chordata; Lepidosauria; Squamata; Lacertidae.
CCAACCGCUCAGAAAGAGCAGCGGCAAAAAAGAAGCUGCACAGCGGCGGAGGCGCGAGCUGCAUCUGGGGAGGCGUCGCGGGCAGGGGGCCGGAAGAGUGGCGCGGUGGGGGGGGGGGAGGAGGAAGGUCGGUCGCCGCCGGCGCUGCCCCCUCAGGCAGUCGCAGGAAGAGGAGGAGAUGCUCGGGUUUCGGUGCAAGGGGCCCUCGGCGGCGUAACUGUUCCUGAUAAGGGGAGGAGAGAGCCGAGGGCUGCAUAAAGAAGGACACAUGGAAUGACAAACUGAUUAGAUAUGAAUAAACGCCAAUAAAGCCUCAGGAAGAAGUAAAAGGGGAAUCCCUUUGCAGCAGCUGCCCUGAUGUUAAGGGACUUCAUAUUGCCCAUCAUGGAGGAAGAUGGAUGGGAGUGGCUAGUGGCUCCGAUUCAGCAGCUGAUAUCCUGGGGUGCAUCUGCAGCCAUGGUGUUUGGAGGUGUGGUGCCAUACGUCCCGCAAUACCGAGAUAUUAAAAGGACACAGAAUGCAGAGGGCUUUUCAACCUACGUGUGUUUAGUGUUAUUAGUUGCAAACAUUUUAAGGAUACUCUUCUGGUUUGGGAGGCACUUUGAAUCCCCUCUACUAUUGCAGAGCAUCAUUAUGAUAAUUACAAUGUUACUGAUGCUGAAACUGUGCACUGAAGUACGUGUGACAAAUGAGCUGAAUAUAAAACGGCGCUCCUUUUCAGCUGCAGAUAGUAAGGAUGAAGAAAUCAAAACACCUCCCAAGAGAUCCUUUCUGGAUUUUGACUUGUACUAUUUCUGGCACUGGAACAAGUUUACAGAUUAUGUGCAAUGUGUUCUGGCUUUCACUGGAGUCGCAGGAUACAUCACGUACCUUUCUCUUGACUCGACUAUCUUUGUUGAAACUCUGGGCUUCCUUGCCGUGUUCACUGAAGCCAUGCUGGGCAUCCCUCAGCUCUAUCGUAACUAUCAGAAUAGGUCAACGGAAGGAAUGAGGUAAGAUGGUAUGCAUGUCUCUUAAAAUACUUCAGUCACAUUUCUGGCUCUGUUCACACACGUAAUUAUUUCUCAUUGCUUCGGCAGCCUUCCCAGAACUACUUUGAUUAAAAGAGGAAAAUAACACAACAAUUCUCUGGGGAGGUGAGGGGGGGGGAAAGCUGCUUGGAAAGGUGAUUUCAAACUGGAAAUGGCCAACUCUUCUGCCUCCACUUUUCUUUCUCUGAUUUCCCCCUUUCUCUGAGGCAGCUUUUUCCUUUUCUAAAAGGGCCAUUUAAAAUUUAAUAUACCUAUACCUUCUCCCCUCCCUGGGGUUUCCCAUGCAGGACAUCCAUUUGAAAAUCUGUGAGUCCAUCAGUGUCCAAAUUCAACAUUGCAAUGUUGAAAAGGAAAAAAGCUGCUUCCAGGAGGGGAGGGUUGAUAAGGAGAAGCAAAGUGGAGGCACAGGAUAUGUGUAGCCUUUCUCUUGUUAGCCAUUUCCAGCUUGAAAUUGUUUUCCCAAGCAGUUUUAACCUCACCACCACCCUGGGAUUUCAAGUGUAUAGAUGUACCCAUGCAAACACACAAAUUUGAAAAUCUGAGUGCAUCAGAGUCCAGUCUGUUUUCUUCUCUACAGCUUCUGGAGUUUUUCUGAAAUUCAUGAGGACAGGAAGGGAAAUAAGCCAAAAGUUAAAAAUAUGUGAAGUGUAUGAGGAAUAGUAACUGUCCUGGCCACUGAUACUUGUACUGUAGACCUGAGAAGCUUGCCAAGGGAGCUCAGAUGGAGUAUCUUCCAGUAAUUUCAUAUACUUUUGGAAUAUAUACUAAGCAAAGCCUGCAUCACUUAUAAAGCAAUUCCCCCGCCCCCACUUAGAUCUGCAUUGCAGUUGCUAUUUAAUAAGACUUUGGAGCUCUUUUUGGGUGUGGAGUGUGUUGCAGAGCGGAGAAUUUAAGCAGAGAAGUUAUAAUUCUAUUAAUGACCAUUCUAAUCUUGACAUCCAAGUACUAGAGCUCCCAGAAUAGCACAUUAGUAACAUCUAUCAAGUAAAGAAUUGCUUAAUUUCUAUUCAUCUCAGGACUUCAGUAAGUCUCCAGUCAUUUCUUGUUAUAAAUGAGUAUUUUAAUGGAAGUUAAUUGUUUUAAAAGAGAGGAUUCAAUUUAUCACUGGUGGUUAGAUUAUGUUUAAUUUCUUUGACAUCAUCUGAUUAAAAACUAGGAAAUAAGUGCAUCAUUUCAGAGUUCCCGGAUGUUAACAUAUUGCAAGAAUGUGACAUCUGAGAAAAGGAAAGAUGAUAGUUCAUAAAAUGGUAUUGGUGUCCGAAACUGGGUAUCUACUUCUAAAACUUCCUCUUCUUACCAAGUCUUCUCCAUCUUUAACUUCUACCACACCCCCUUUAACCGUCCCUUACUCUUCCUUCAUAACCACCAUAUCCUCACCUGCUGCCUUAGCUGCUACUCUUUACCAUACUCUUUGUCAGCUCUUCAGUUUUUCCUCUGCUGCAGAGAUGGGAAAUCUGUGGCCCUCCCAGAUGUUGUUGGGCUCCCCAUCAGCCCCAGCCAGCAUGGCCAGUGGUCAGAGAUGCUGGGAGCUGGAGUCCAACAGCAUAUGGACGGCAAUAGGUUCCCCCCAUCCUUGUCUAACCAUUUUACUCUAUCUUCCAAAGUUACUUUGUUUUGUGUGUGUGCUAAUCAGCUCACUCGUGACCAUGUAGACUAUUUUCCAAAACUCCAGAGAUCCACUUAUUUACACUUUAGGCAACUCUAUUGUGGCCAUUUGUCCGGUGGUUUUUUGUUUUGUUUUGUUUUGCUUUGUCUUUAAAAAAAGCUGAUUAAGAUUUGAACUCUACAAAGGUUAAUGCAAGGCAAGGGCCUUUUCUUUCUUUUUUAAUCACUUCAGGAAUGUUCUUUCAAAGAAGAAUUGCAAAGAACCAGCCUCAUUUAAUCACUAAAUGCCACAUUGGUGUUGAUGAAUGGAUUGCAGUUAUGAAUGAGAUGCACCAGCAGAAGCCGAUGAGUCAUGGGUCUGAGAGGUUUUUUAAUGGUUGUUGGCAGCGCAUGCAGGGAAAUCUGGUGGCUGAAACUGUCUGCUUUGUUGCUUUUUUAUUUUGUUUUGUUACAUCAGCAUGAAACAGGAGAGCAAUUUGAAAUAUGAACAGUUUUCCGAGUUAGGAUGGUUUCUUUCAAGUAGCUUUAUGUUCAAGGGAGAGGUGAAUGCAAUAAGCAGGAACCCCUUUUUUGUUUUCCAUUUUUUUUGGAAGGAGAUGGGUGUUCCUUUGUAGUUCAGUGGAAGGCUUUGCCUGCAGAAGGUCCCAUGUUCAAUCCUCAACAUUUUCAGUUAGAAAAGGGUAGCGGGUGAUGGUCAAGCCCUCUGCCUGAGAAUUGGAGAGCCACUGUCAGCCAGAACAGAUAAUAUUUGACUAGAGAGGUCAAUGGUUCGACUUUACUCAAUGUUAGCAGGAAAUGGUGCUUGUUGUGUGAAAUUUGAAGAGCAUGGUAGCUAAUGUGCUGUCCUCCAGAUGAUGGACUCUACAACUUCUGUCAGCACCAGCCACCAUGGCCAGUGCUCCAGGAUGAUGGGAAUUGUACUCCUGUAACAUCUGUAUGUUACAUCUGUAUGUAUGAUAGCAUGUUGGUCAUUCCUGCUCUAGACAGUGACAAAUUUCCCAGUUUUUUUUCAUUAGAAUAUCUUUGGGUUUUUUUGAUACCACCUCCCCAUUAGGGUUCCAUGAGUGGGAGAAAGGUGAGAUAUAAACAUAAGAAAAUAAAUAUUGCUUAUAUUUAUUUGUUUAACCACACACACUUGCAGAAUGCCCACCAAUUGGAGGAGGCGGUAUGUGUGAUGAGGGAGGGCGUGCCAACCCCUUUCCCCCCUACCACAUCUUCACCACCCCUCUCCAGCUCGCCUCCGAGGCCAGGUCUGGCCCUACUCUUGCAUUUUCUCAGUAGCUGCAAUUUCACUAGUUGUUAGAUGGUCUCACCAGAUGAAAGACUGGGCAGUGUGGGAGAAGGGAGGAAGGAGAGGUUGCUGUGCAACUUCACAGGUUUUGAGCUUCCCUUUCCCCACAGUUUCAUUUGAUGCUUUGGAGCAGUGCACUUGGAAGAGAGCUUGUAUAUGUGCCUGCAUGCUCCAUCUAGGAGCAACUGUGGCUCCAGGGGACAUCUCCCUGUGAUUGUCCCUCUGUGUGUGGGAAGGCCAGACCAGAACCAAGAAGCUGGAGCUGGUGCUGCUUGGAUAAACAAUCCAGGCUGUGCUUUCACUUGCUGGUCUUCUAGCUCUUCAGCCAGGCAGCAGCAGCAGCUUCAGGGUCUGGUCCUUUGGAGUUUCGGCACCCCAUGGCAACUCAAAGAAACUCUUGAAAGUGGCCCUGUUGUUCCUCUACCCUUCAGUCAUGUUGAACAAUUUUGGGGUCAGCACGCAUCACAAUCUCUAAACAAAUUACUGCUUUCAACUUAUCACCUUAUUGGUAACAUUAAGCGGGAUUUAGCACUACAAGGAGAUUGAUGAAUGCAAGUGCAUUGUGGGAAGCUCCUUAUGUCUGAUGACGGCCAUGGGAGAAGAGAUAAACAGUAGAGGAGAACACCAUUUAUGGAGUUUUAUAUGUCCCUGGCGUUAAAUGUACCAAAGCUUUCUCUUGCUGAAGGGUGUGAUUAAGACACAAAAAUUAACUAAGGAUAUUUUCACUAGCUCUCGUGUGGAACACUUGUAUUUUAAGACCAUUGAUUCAGGCUAUGGGGAGUAUUAAAGUUAUAAUAGGAAAACUUUAAUAUAUAUUUAUAUUUACAAGAGAGAGAGAGGGAGAGACUUCAUAUUCUACUGUAAUUGAAAACCUCCUAAUAUUUAAAUAGCAUGGACAGACCACGGAGAGAAUAUAAUAAGACAAAGAUAUGAAUCAUUGGCAUGGUACCAGCUAAAAUGAACUUGGGGUUUAAAUAUUUUAUUACCACUAUAAAUUCAUAUGUUCUUGAGGGGAUUGCAAGAAGAAGGAUUAAAUAAAUUUAUAUUUAAUAAUAGUGGGUUCUGCUGUGACCCUCAGCCUGCAAGAAUUGUUCCCCAAAGCAAUAAUAAUCUCUCAUUAAAUUGUUUGUAGAAUUCAUAUUAGAAAUAAGUAGAACACUAUUGCACUUGGUGUUCUCAAUUGUCUCUAUGAAUAAAAAGGUAAACAACCAGCGUUUGUUUAUGUGCACCGUGGCCUGGUGUUUAGGGUGCAGAGUCUUACAACUCAUCCAUUUUCAGGGCCCCUGUUCCCAAAUAGUGUUGCUCUCCUGCAGUCAUAGGGAGAUAUGACUUAAGUGACUGCAUAUAGAUGUAAAAUAGCAUUGAGUGCAGUGUAGUGCCUUGCAGCACCCCACGGUUUGCCAGGGGGCUGUGGCACAGUCACACAGUGCUGCUCUGUGGUAAUCAAACCACUGAAAUGCAGUGCUUCUGACCCCAGUGUGUAGAGAUGAUUCAGAAGAAUGCCUUUGGCCAACAAUGCAUGGAGAAUACUGGAGAAUACUGUGAACAGCAGCAUCAAAAGAGAUCUGCAAGAUUAACAGGGUCACAUUCCCUCUGCCUCUCUCACAGAGGUGGGCAUCCAUUAGGGCAAUUCUGUCUCCAAACCAGGCCUCAGACCUGAUUGAAAUGGCUCCAGAUAAUCAGUUCCCUCCAACAGUUUCUGCAGCUUAAUACACACCCUCUUAUGCACCUUGCACAGAAAGGGACAUUAGUUGGAAUAAACCUCUGGUUCCUUGGAAUAAAAUGCCAGGUCUAUUCUGUGGAUUCACCCAGUUUAUCAGUGGUGGGGUGGGGGUAGCUUUAAGAAGUCACAAUAGGCAAGUAAGCCAUCCUGCUACAAGUGUCUUGUCCACAUUCUCAGGCCUUGAAAAUUGAAACUGGUGCCAUAAAAUAGGACGAGACAGUGCAUUGGAUGCCUCAUCAGAUACUAUUUCAGCAGUGAUGAACAGAUUUCCAUGGAGUGUCAAGAUGGUGCUGAUGUGGACCAGUGGUGACACCUUCAAGACCAUGUACUUCCUUGUGAACCAGGCUCCCUUCCAGUUCUCUAUCUGUGGACUUCUACAGGUCUUUGUGGAUAUGGCCAUUCUGUUGC